GAAAAAAACAGCUAAUGCACUGCUCCCAUUUUCCCUUGAUGGUUUCCAGCUGUCCUCUUAUCCCUGGCAUACCAAAUGACAUUAAUUAGGUUCAGCUUAUAAAAAUAAGUGGGAAGCAGUAUGCUUUACCCACCUUAUAGAGCUGUACAUAAAUGAUGUGUUACAUACAACAAACUGCAAUUGCAGAUGCUGAGCAACACUGCGGUUAUUAAGCCAGGAGAUGAGUAAAAAGAAAGUUCCUUUGGCAAAGCAGUCAUAGGCAGGAUGGCUUCUCAGACUGUGCAAUGGAAGAAGAAAUGAAUGGAAGUGUAUACCAGAAGAUGAAUGCAACCUUCAAAACACCCUGUUCAGCUUUGUAGAGGGCUCUGGGAGAGUGGUUCUGUGGAGUCUGGAAAUGCUUAAAAAUAGGUACCUCCCCCAUUCCUUAACUGUAUUCCUCUUCCUCUUGAUGGAGUUUCCUAGCCCCGAGGAGGGCCAUCUGGACUGAACCCAGGUAAUUCAGGAGCUAUUUCACAAUUGGAUCAAAUGUCCUUUCCUCAGCAAGAGAGAGAGAAGGAAGAGAGAUAUACUCCUCCUGUUAGAAUAGUUGGGAC
RNAcentral lists this long non-coding RNA (593 nucleotides) under Anser brachyrhynchus (Pink-footed goose). RNAcentral describes it as "lncRNA (ENSABRG00000006959.1)". Lineage: Eukaryota; Metazoa; Chordata; Aves; Anseriformes; Anatidae. The record is from RNAcentral.